RNAcentral lists this non-coding RNA (103 nucleotides) under Metabacillus litoralis. RNAcentral describes it as "Bacillus litoralis TPP sequence". It matches the Rfam family "TPP riboswitch aptamer (THI element)". Rfam says of the family: Vitamin B(1) in its active form thiamin pyrophosphate (TPP) is an essential coenzyme that is synthesised by coupling of pyrimidine and thiazole moieties in bacteria. The previously detected thiamin-regulatory element, thi box was extended, resulting in a new, highly conserved RNA secondary structure, the THI element, which is widely distributed in eubacteria and also occurs in some archaea. Lineage: Bacteria; Bacillati; Bacillota; Bacilli; Caryophanales; Bacillaceae. The record is from Rfam by way of RNAcentral.
AUUCACCACUAGGGGGGCUUUAUGAAGCUGAGAGAGACCAAUGUCUUGACCCUUAUUACCUGAUCUAGAUAAUACUAGCGUAGGGAAGAGGUGUUUGAAAAUA